Molecule: ribosomal RNA, 495 nt
Filed under: uncultured bacterium
Lineage: Bacteria
Description: partial 16S ribosomal RNA
Rfam family: Bacterial small subunit ribosomal RNA
Source: RNAcentral
GACGAACGCUGGCGGCGUGCCUAAUACAUGCAAGUAGAACGCUGAAGGAGGAGCUUGCUUCUCCGGAUGAGUUGCGAACGGGUGAGUAACGCGUAGGUAACCUGCCUGGUAGCGGGGGAUAACUAUUGGAAACGAUAGCUAAUACCGCAUAACAGUAGAUGUUGCAUGACAUUUGCUUAAAAGGUGCAAUUGCAUCACUACCAGAUGGACCUGCGUUGUAUUAGCUAGUUGGUGAGGUAACGGCUCACCAAGGCGACGAUACAUAGCCGACCUGAGAGGGUGAUCGGCCACACUGGGACUGAGACACGGCCCAGACUCCUACGGGAGGCAGCAGUAGGGAAUCUUCGGCAAUGGACGGAAGUCUGACCGAGCAACGCCGCGUGAGUGAAGAAGGUCUUCGGAUCGUAAAGCUCUGUUGUAAGAGAAGAACGAGUGUGAGAGUGGAAAGUUCACACUGUGACGGUAUCUUACCAGAAAGGGACGGCUAACUACGUG